UAGUGGAUCAGGAGGAUCCGAGAUGAC
RNAcentral lists this small RNA (27 nucleotides) under Bombyx mori (domestic silkworm). Its description in RNAcentral is "piRNA piR-bmo-1613193". The record is from RNAcentral. Lineage: Eukaryota; Metazoa; Arthropoda; Insecta; Lepidoptera; Bombycidae.